UAUGCUUGUCUCAAAGAUUAAGCCAUGCAUGUCUCAGUACGAGCCGUAUUAAGGUGAACCCACGAAAGGCUCAUUAAAUCAGUUAUAGUUUCUUAGUUCGUACUCACAUUUACUUGGGUAACUGUGGUAAUUCUAGAGCUAAUACAUGCAAACAGAGCUCCGACCGGAGACGGAAGGACCCCUUUUAUUAGUCAUGGACCUCAAUAAAAAAAAUGAAAAGAUAAAUCAAUAAUGAAAAAUAUUUCUAGAAUAUAUUGUCGAACGUUUGUCUAUAUUGACGUGGAAAAUCGAUGGAAAUAUUUGCAACAUUUACUAAAUUUAAUUCAUUUGCGAGUCUUCGACUAAAAGAUAAUAUUCGCAUAGUUUCAUAACCGUUGAUGCUAUUCGAUCUCUCAAGAAAAACUGUUUGGGACAAAAUUCAAUUAUUUCCACUGAUCAACCUAACGUUAGUCAACACAACCUCUUCAACCAGAACAAACUACAUUUUACUUGCCAAACUUGGGUACUAAACCAUGGUAUCAUGAUUUAGUACCAAAAUUGUGCUACAAGUUUGAGGUGAUUUUUCUUACUCAAUGGUUUCCUCUAAUACCUUCGUUAAUUGCGGUUUGCGGGUUAUUUAAAGAAUGGUUUUUUUUGAAAUCGUCAAAAUUUAAAAAGUGCUAUUUUUCGAAAAUCAAGGUUUAACCGAGGCCCCGUAAUCGGAAUGAGUACACUCUAAACCCUUUAACGAGGAUUAAUUGGAGGGCAAGUCUGGUGCUAGCGGCCGCGGUAAUUCCAGCUCCAAUAGCGUA
Molecule: non-coding RNA, 791 nt
Filed under: Oryctes borbonicus
Lineage: Eukaryota; Metazoa; Arthropoda; Insecta; Coleoptera; Scarabaeidae
Description: Eukaryotic small subunit ribosomal RNA
Rfam family: Eukaryotic small subunit ribosomal RNA
Source: Rfam by way of RNAcentral